Molecule: ribosomal RNA, 253 nt
Filed under: uncultured bacterium
Lineage: Bacteria
Description: partial 16S ribosomal RNA
Rfam family: Bacterial small subunit ribosomal RNA
Source: RNAcentral
UACGUAGGGUGCGAGCGUUAAUCGGAAUUACUGGGCGUAAAGCGUGCGCAGGCGGUUUUGUAAGCCAGAUGUGAAAUCCCCGGGCUUAACCUGGGAAUGGCAUUUGGGACUGCAAGGCUUGAGUGCGGCAGAGGAGACUGGAAUUCCUGGUGUAGCGGUGGAAUGCGCAGAUAUCAGGAAGAACACCCGUGGCGAAGGCGGCUCUCUGGAACGCAACUGACGCUGAGACGCGAAAGCGUGGGGAGCAAACAGG